GUGCUCGUUCCGGCAGCACAUAUACUAAAAUUGGAACGAUACUGAGAAGAUUAGCAUGACCCCCGCGCAAGGACGACACUCAAAUUCGUGAUGCAUUCCAUAUUUUU
Molecule: small nuclear RNA, 107 nt
Organism: Perognathus longimembris pacificus (Pacific pocket mouse)
Lineage: Eukaryota; Metazoa; Chordata; Mammalia; Rodentia; Heteromyidae
Source: RefSeq, a predicted model, not a curated record